RNAcentral lists this ribosomal RNA (429 nucleotides) under Bacillota bacterium. Its description in RNAcentral is "Firmicutes bacterium partial 16S ribosomal RNA". It matches the Rfam family "Bacterial small subunit ribosomal RNA", at positions 355 to 776 of the family's 1533-position model. Lineage: Bacteria; Bacillati; Bacillota. The record is from RNAcentral.
UGGGGAAUUUUGGACAAUGGGCGAAAGCCUGAUCCAGCAAUGCCGCGUGUGUGAAGAAGGCCUUCGGGUUGUAAAGCACUUUUGUCCGGAAAGAAAUGGCUCUGGUUAAUACCUGGGGUCGAUGACGGUACCGGAAGAAUAAGGACCGGCUAACUACGUGCCAGCAGCCGCGGUAAUACGUAGGGUCCAAGCGUUAAUCGGAAUUACUGGGCGUAAAGCGUGCGCAGGCGGUUGUGCAAGACCGAUGUGAAAUCACCGAGCUUAACUUGGGAAUUGAAUUGGUGACUGCACGGCUAGAGUGUGGCAGAGGGGGGUAGAAUUCCACGUGUAGCAGUGAAAUGCGUAGAGAUGUGGAGGAAUACCGAUGGCGAAGGCAGCCCCCUGGGAUAACACUGACGCUCAUGCACGAAAGCGUGGGGAGCAAACAGG